AUUGAACGCUGGCGGAAUGCUUUACACAUGCAAGUCGAACGGCAGCACGGACUUCGGUCUGGUGGCGAGUGGCGAACGGGUGAGUAAUGUAUCGGAACGUGCCCAGUCGAGGGGGAUAACGUAGUGAAAAUUACGCUAAUACCGCAUACGUUCUAUGGAUAGAAGCGGGGGAGCGCAAGACCUCGCGCGAUUGGAGCGGCCGAUAUCAGAUUAGGUAGUUGGUGGGGUAAAGGCCCACCAAGCCAACGAUCUGUAGCUGGUCUGAGAGGACGACCAGCCACACUGGAACUGAGACACGGUCCAGACUCCUACGGGAGGCAGCAGUGGGGAAUUUUGGACAAUGGGCGAAAGCCUGAUCCAGCCAUUCCGCGUGCAGGAUGAAGGCCCUCGGGUUGUAAACUGCUUUUGUACGGAACGAAAAGGUUUCUACUAAUACUAGGAGCUCAUGACGGUACUGUAAGAAUAAGCACCGGCUAACUACGUGCCAGCAGCCGCGGUAA
RNAcentral lists this ribosomal RNA (500 nucleotides) under uncultured bacterium. RNAcentral describes it as "partial 16S ribosomal RNA". It matches the Rfam family "Bacterial small subunit ribosomal RNA", at positions 30 to 523 of the family's 1533-position model. The record is from RNAcentral.